Molecule: ribosomal RNA, 567 nt
Filed under: uncultured bacterium
Lineage: Bacteria
Description: partial 16S ribosomal RNA
Rfam family: Bacterial small subunit ribosomal RNA
Source: RNAcentral
UGGGGAAUUUUGGACAAUGGGCGAAAGCCUGAUCCAGCAAUGCCGCGUGUGUGAAGAAGGCCUUCGGGUUGUAAAGCACUUUUGUCCGGAAAGAAAUCCUUGGCUCUAAUACAGUCGGGGGAUGACGGUACCGGAAGAAUAAGCACCGGCUAACUACGUGCCAGCAGCCGCGGUAAUACGUAGGGUGCAAGCGUUAAUCGGAAUUACUGGGCGUAAAGCGUGCGCAGGCGGUUUGCUAAGACCGAUGUGAAAUCCCCGGGCUCAACCUGGGAACUGCAUUGGUGACUGGCAGGCUAGAGUAUGGCAGAGGGGGGUAGAAUUCCACGUGUAGCAGUGAAAUGCGUAGAGAUGUGGAGGAAUACCGAUGGCGAAGGCAGCCCCCUGGGCCAAAUACUGACGCUCAUGCACGAAAGCGUGGGGAGCAAACAGGAUUAGAUACCCUGGUAGUCCACGCCCUAAACGAUGUCAACUAGUUGUUGGGGAUUCAUUUCCCUAGUAACGUAGCUAACGCGUGAAGUUGACCGCCUGGGGAGUACGGUCGCAAGAUUAAAACUUAAAUGAAUUGAC